UAUAAGGGAUUUUGAGUUUUUGUUUGCAACGUUUGACCACUCAUCUUAUUCAAAAGUUUUUGAAAUUAUUAUUUAUUUUAUUUGUGACUUACUUUAUUACCCACAGUACUUUAAGCACAACUUCAUUUUUGAUAUUUGCAAAAAAAUUUGAAUGAGACGAGUGGUCAAACGUUGCAAGCAAAAAUUCAAAAUCCCUUAUA
Molecule: microRNA precursor, 200 nt
Filed under: Oryza meridionalis
Lineage: Eukaryota; Viridiplantae; Streptophyta; Magnoliopsida; Poales; Poaceae
Description: MIR812 microRNA precursor family
Rfam family: MIR812 microRNA precursor family
Source: Rfam by way of RNAcentral